CUAUCUAUAGUGUUGUAUAUCAGAACCCAUCCAGAACCCAUCUAUCCAUAGUGCUGUAUAUCAGAACCCAUCUAUCUAUAGUGCUGUAUAUCAGAACCCAUCCAGAACCCAUCUAUCCAUAGUGCUGUAUAUCAGAACCCAUUUAUCUAUAGUGCUGUAUAUCAGAACCCAUCUAUCUAUAGCGCUCUAUAUCAGAACCCAUCCAGAACCCAUCUAUCUAUAGUGUUGUAUAUCAGAACCCAUAUAGUGCUGUAUAUCAGAACCCAUCUAUCUAUAGUGCUCUAUAUCAGAACCCAUCUAUCUAUAGUGCUGUAUAUCAGAACCCAUCUAUCUAUAGUGUUGUAUAUCAGAACCCAUCUAUCUAUAGUGUUGUAUAUCAGAACCCAUCUAUCUAUAGUGCUGUAUAUCAGAACACCAUCUAUCUAUAGUGCUGUAUAUCAGAACCCAUCUAUCUAUAGCGCUCUAUAUCAGAACCCAUCCAGAACCCAUCUAUCUAUAGUGUUGUAUAUCAGAACCCAUAUAGUGCUGUAUAUCAGAACCCAUCUAUCUAUAGUGCUCUAUAUCAGAACCCAUCUAUCUAUAGUGCUGUAUAUCAGAACCCAUCUAUCUAUAGUGUUGUAUAUCAGAACCCAUCUAUCUAUAGUGUUGUAUAUCAGAACCCAUCUAUCUAUAGUGCUGUAUAUCAGAACACCAUCUAUCUAUAGUGCUGUAUAUCAGAACCCAUCCAGAACCCAUCUAUCUAUAGUGCUCUAUAUCAGAACCCAUCUAUCUAUAGUGCUCUAUAUCAGAACCCAUCUAUCUAUAGUGAUGUAUAUCAGAACCCAUCCAGAACCUAUCUAUCUAUAGUGCUGUAUAUCAGAACCCAUCUAUCUAUAGUGCUGUAUAUCAGAACCCAUCCAGAACCCAUCUAUCUAUAGUGUUGUAUAUCAGAACCCAUCCAGAACCCAUCUAUCUAUAGUGUUGUAUAUCAGAACCCAUCUAUCAAUAGUGUUGUAUAUCAGAACCCAUCUAUCUAUAGUGCUGUAUAUCAGAACCCAUCUAUCUAUAGUGCUGUAUAUCAGAACCCAUCCAGAACCCAUCUAUCUAUAGUGUUGUAUAUCAGAACCCAUCUAUCAAUAGUGUUGUAUAUCAGAACCCAUCUAUCUAUAGUGCUGUAUAUCAGAACCCAUCUAUCUAUAGUGUUGUAUGUCAGAACCCAUCUAUCUAUAGUGCUGUAUAUCAGAACCCAUCUAUCUAUAGUGAUGUAUAUCAGAACCCAUCCAGAACCUAUCUAUCUAUAGUGCUGUAUAUCAGAACCCAUCUAUCUAUAGUGCUGUAUAUCAGAACCCAUCCAGAACCCAUCUAUCUAUAGUGUUGUAUAUCAGAACCCAUCUAUCUAUAGUGUUGUAUAUCAGAACCCAUCUAUCUAUAGUGCUGUAUAUCAGAACCCAUCUAUCUAUAGUGCUGUAUAUCAGAACCCAUCCAGAACCCAUCUAUCUAUAGUGCUGUAUAUCAGAACCCAUCUAUCUAUAGUACUCUAUAUCAGAAC
Molecule: long non-coding RNA, 1528 nt
Filed under: Oncorhynchus mykiss (rainbow trout)
Lineage: Eukaryota; Metazoa; Chordata; Actinopteri; Salmoniformes; Salmonidae
Description: lncRNA (ENSOMYG00000055093.1)
Source: RNAcentral